This 347-nucleotide small RNA is filed under the name Pan troglodytes (chimpanzee). RNAcentral's name for it is "retained intron". The record is from RNAcentral. Lineage: Eukaryota; Metazoa; Chordata; Mammalia; Primates; Hominidae.
UGCUGAGUGCCCCCGAGCUGCUGGAGUUCCUGGAGGACCAGGGCGAGGAGGGCGCCACACUGGCCCGCGCCCAGCAGCUCAUUCAGACCUAUGAGCUCAACGAGACAGCCAAGCAGCAUGAGCUGAUGACACUGGAUGGCUUCAUGAUGUACCUGUUGUCGCCAGAGGGGGCUGCCUUGGACAACACCCACACGUGUGUGUUCCAGGACAUGAACCAGCCCCUCGCCCACUACUUCAUCUCUUCCUCCCACAACACCUAUCUGACUGACUCCCAGAUCGGGGGGCCCAGCAGCACCGAGGCCUACGUUAGGUACUGUAGCAGGGGGUGAAUGUUUCCGGGAGCCCCA